Long non-coding RNA from Gossypium arboreum, 994 nucleotides. RefSeq lists it as uncharacterized. The transcript has 2 exons. NCBI's taxonomy places the organism in Eukaryota, Viridiplantae, Streptophyta, Magnoliopsida, Malvales, Malvaceae. The record is from RefSeq and is a predicted model, not a curated record.
GGGCAUACCUUUCUCGGCCUUUUGGCUAAGAUCAAGUGUAGUAUCUGUUCUUAUCAGUUUAAUAUCUGAUACGUGGGCCAUUGGCUCACAUGAUAUUAAAUUUAUUUUUUAAAGGGGAGAGUCCAUCACAGUAGCUUGCUACUGGGGCCCUCGAGCGUCGCUCAAGCGAUGCACUAUAGCUUGGGCCUGGCGCACUCCACCCAAUUUUAGUUCUAGAAUUUUUGUUUUUCUUGGAGGGUGAAGUUAUUAGCGAGUUCUUAACAAUGAAUUAGCUCCGAAAAGGUUCCGCUCUUGUUUUUGAGUUCUAGGUAUGGUUCUUUAAAGUUCUACAAAUUAAUGGUUUCGCGCAUUUCAGCUCAAGCAUCCUGGUAAUCAGAAUAAACUAUGAACUCUUUAUUAGCAAUCUGAAGUUAAUAUGAACCUCCAACUUCAAAACUCAAAUCUAGAAGCUUGAUAAUUGUUGAAGUGGAUGAUGCUAUCAUAGUAAGCAUCAGGGUUUGCCAGGAGGUAGGCUUCAAUGGCCUUGAACAUUCCCCAAUGCUUUUUCUUUGCCUAUCUCGAUCCCCUCUUCCUUGAGCUCAAAAUCACCUAUGGUGUAAUACUUGCUACUAGUCUUGCAUAUAGAUCCCCCAUUCGGAGAGGCCUCUAAUUUCGUCUCUUAAGUGAUUUUCUCAAGCUUGAUCAUCAAUGCAUUACCUUCAAUGACACUGUAAAUAUACAAAGAAGUUUCUUCGUCUACUGCUUCAACCUUCUGCUUCAUGUAUUUGUUUGACUUCCUGCAUGAAGAAAAUGUGGAAUAUCAACAUCAGCUUGCUAGAAAAAGUAUUUUGCUAAUAGGGUAAUAUCACUUGCCAAGGGUUAUGAGUUUAUAUAAAACUAUCCUACAUUGCUUAAAAAAAUAAUUAUAGUGGCACCUUAGGUUUAUGUAAAGAUCUAUGUUGUAAAUAUUUAUUUGCACUAAACUAAAUAUUGAAUUUUCCAUUUGAUUUUUAAA